CAAGGAGUACCAAGACAUCAGACAUCAACCCUGUGAGGAGAGCAUCCUUGUCGUCACACCCAGCUGGCCCAGGCUCACGGCAGCGUGUUCACCGUGUGGGUGGGCCCGACACCCGUGGUGGUGCUGAGCGGCUUUCGGGCGGUGAAGGAAGCCCUGGUCUCCAACUCGGAGCAGUUCUCCGG
Long non-coding RNA from Camelus dromedarius (Arabian camel), 182 nucleotides. RefSeq lists it as uncharacterized. The record is from RefSeq and is a predicted model, not a curated record. NCBI's taxonomy places the organism in Eukaryota, Metazoa, Chordata, Mammalia, Artiodactyla, Camelidae. The transcript is spliced from 3 exons.